RNAcentral lists this ribosomal RNA (459 nucleotides) under Paenibacillus lautus. RNAcentral's name for it is "bacterial SSU rRNA". It matches the Rfam family "Bacterial small subunit ribosomal RNA", at positions 112 to 557 of the family's 1533-position model. Lineage: Bacteria; Bacillati; Bacillota; Bacilli; Caryophanales; Paenibacillaceae. The record is from RNAcentral.
AACACGUAGGCAACCUGCCCUCAAGACUGGGAUAACUACCGGAAACGGUAGCUAAUACCGGAUAAUUUAUUUCACAGCAUUGUGGAAUAAUGAAAGACGGAGCAAUCUGUCACUUGGGGAUGGGCCUGCGGCGCAUUAGCUAGUUGGUGGGGUAAYGGCUCACCAAGGCGACGAUGCGUAGCCGACCUGAGAGGGUGAACGGCCACACUGGGACUGNGNCNCNGCCCAGACUCCUACGGGAGGCAGCAGUAGGGAAUCUUCCGCAAUGGGCGAAAGCCUGACGGAGCAACGCCGCGUGAGUGAUGAAGGUUUUCGGAUCGUAAAGCUCUGUUGCCAAGGAAGAACGUCUUCUAGAGUAACUGCUAGGAGAGUGACGGUACUUGAGAAGAAAGCCCCGGCUAACUACNUGCCAGCAGCCGCGGUAAUACGUAGGGGGCAAGCGUUGUCCGGAAUUAUUGG